This 468-nucleotide ribosomal RNA is filed under the name uncultured bacterium. Its description in RNAcentral is "partial 16S ribosomal RNA". It matches the Rfam family "Bacterial small subunit ribosomal RNA", at positions 28 to 507 of the family's 1533-position model. The record is from RNAcentral.
GACGAACGCUGGCGGCGUGCUUAACACAUGCAAGUCGAACGGAAAGGCCCUGCUUUUGUUGGGUGCUCGAGUGGCGAACGGGUGAGUAACACGUGAGUAACCUGCCCUUGACUUUGGGAUAACUUCAGGAAACUGGGGCUAAUACCGGAUAGGAGCUCUUGCUGCAUGGUGGGGGUUGGAAAGUUUCGGCGGUUGGGGAUGGACUCGCGGCUUAUCAGCUUGUUUGUGGGGUAGUGGCUUACCAAGGCUUUGGCGGGUAGCCGGCCUGAGAGGGUGACCGGCCACAUGGGGACUGAGAUACGGGCCAGACUCCUACGGGCGGCAACAGUGGAGAAUAUUGCACAAUGGGCGGAAGCCUGAUGCAGCAACGCAGCGUGCGGGAUAACGGCCUACGGGUUGUAAACCGCUUUCGCCUGUGACGAAGCGUGAUUGACGGUAAUGGGUAAAGAAGCACCGGCUAACUACGUG